GAGUUUGAUCAUGGCUCAGAUUGAACGCUGGCGGCAUGCCUUACACAUGCAAGUCGAACGGCAGCACGGGAGCUUGCUCCUGGGUGGCGAGUGGCGAACGGGUGAGUAAUGCAUCGGAACGUAGUCCUGGAGUGGGGGAUAACGUAGCGAAAGUUACGCUAAUACCGCAUAUUCUGUGAGCAGGAAAGCGGGGACCUUCGGGCCUCGCGCUCUUGGAGCGGCCGAUGUCGGAUUAGCUAGUUGGUGAGGUAAAGGCUCACCAAGGCGACGAUCCGUAGCAGGUCUGAGAGGAUGAUCUGCCACACUGGAACUGAGACACGGUCCAGGACUCCUACGGGAGGCAGGCAGUGGGAAUUUUGGGACAAUGGGGGCAACCCUGAUCCAGCCAUGCCGCGUGAGUGAAGAAGGCCU
Molecule: ribosomal RNA, 411 nt
Filed under: bacterium enrichment culture clone ALO1_GLFRUDD03GOQ52
Lineage: Bacteria
Description: bacterial SSU rRNA
Rfam family: Bacterial small subunit ribosomal RNA
Source: RNAcentral